AGGUCACACCUGUUCCCAUGCCGAACACAGAAGUUAAGCUCCUUAGCGCCGAUGGUAGUCGGACUAACGUUCCGCUAGAGUAGGACGUUGCCAGGC
Molecule: ribosomal RNA, 96 nt
Filed under: Staphylococcus warneri
Lineage: Bacteria; Bacillati; Bacillota; Bacilli; Caryophanales; Staphylococcaceae
Source: RNAcentral